This 467-nucleotide ribosomal RNA is filed under the name Arthrobacter sp. RI251. RNAcentral's name for it is "bacterial SSU rRNA". It matches the Rfam family "Bacterial small subunit ribosomal RNA", at positions 8 to 488 of the family's 1533-position model. The record is from RNAcentral. Lineage: Bacteria; Bacillati; Actinomycetota; Actinomycetes; Micrococcales; Micrococcaceae.
AGAGUUUGAUCCUGGCUCAGGAUGAACGCUGGCGGCGUGCUUAACACAUGCAAGUCGAACGAUGAACCUCACUUGUGGGGGGAUUAGUGGCGAACGGGUGAGUAACACGUGAGUAACCUGCCCUUAACUCUGGGAUAAGCCUGGGAAACUGGGUCUAAUACCGGAUAUGACUCCUCAUCGCAUGGUGGGGGGUGGAAAGCUUUAUUGUGGUUUUGGAUGGACUCGCGGCCUAUCAGCUUGUUGGUGAGGUAAUGGCUCACCAAGGCGACGACGGGUAGCCGGCCUGAGAGGGUGACCGGCCACACUGGGACUGAGACACGGCCCAGACUCCUACGGGAGGCAGCAGUGGGGAAUAUUGCACAAUGGGCGAAAGCCUGAUGCAGCGACGCCGCGUGAGGGAUGACGGCCUUCGGGUUGUAAACCUCUUUCAGUAGGGAAGAAGCGAAAGUGACGGUACCUGCAGAAGA